CUCAUGGUGAGCUCAUAGAUAGUUUAUGCUAACAAGAUGACUCAGGAUGGUGUUGACCAAUCCAGAGAGACUAACCAUGUUUUUAGAGGGUUGGAACUUCGAACCAUGUGAUAUUAGGCUGACCUCCAGGGAGGGGAGUAGGAACUGGAGAUUAAGUUCAAUCACAUGGCCAGUAAUUCAAUAUAUCAUGCCCACAAAAUAGAACUCCAAUAAAAACUUAGACACUGAAGCUCAUAUGAGUUUCCUUGGGUAACAAUGUGUAUUGUUACACAACAAUGAUUGAAAGGUGAUGUGUCCUGACUCUGCAGGGAGAGAGGACAUCAGAAGCUACACAUUUGGGACCUUCUCAGGCUUCACCCUAUGAACCUCUUUUUGCUGAUCCUGAUUUGUAUUAUUUGUGCUAUAAUAACACUGUAAUUAUAUGUAUAGGACUUUCCUGAAUUCUCUGUCACUGUCAGUCUAUUAAAUGAUUGAGCAUGAAGAGAGAGUAGGAACCCCUGAGUAUUUAGCUUGUUGGUCAGAAGUGCUGGUGGCCUUGGAACUCAUAAGCUUGUGGCUAGUUUCUGAGGUGAGUGAGAGGUCUUGUGAAGGACUGUGCCCUCAGCCUGUGAAGUCUGCCUAACUCUGGCUAGUCCAUCGCAAGUCACUGCACACGUAUUAAUUCAAUCAGCUCUAUGGUCUAACCCAGGCACAACAGGAAUACAACCUUUUACUACAGAUGUGGGAUUGUUCAUGUCAUCUACUAAUGCAAGAUGGAUCUGAGAACGCUGUCUGGGCUUGGUGCCAAGGGCUGGUAUUUCACAGCAGCGACCGCCUCACAGACGAGCUGUGGGAAGCAGGAGGGAGACUCUCUCUUAGGGUGCCACUACUAUGGAGACACAGCUGGGCUGAACAAGAUUUGCUUCAAACGACAACAAGAGAGACAGAAAGUAUCUGGUUCAACCGCUGCCCGAGCAGGCAGGCACCAGAAGAGCUAGCAGCCAAUCCGGCCAUGCUCGAAGCCAGCUCUGCAGCUCAGCCAAUCAGUGACAUCAUUGCUUUCUUUAGCUUGCCCAUGGUGAUGUGA
This 1066-nucleotide long non-coding RNA is filed under the name Pan paniscus (pygmy chimpanzee). Its description in RNAcentral is "lncRNA (ENSPPAG00000045312.1)". Lineage: Eukaryota; Metazoa; Chordata; Mammalia; Primates; Hominidae. The record is from RNAcentral.